Molecule: long non-coding RNA, 3604 nt
Organism: Equus caballus (horse)
Lineage: Eukaryota; Metazoa; Chordata; Mammalia; Perissodactyla; Equidae
Source: Ensembl
CCCGGGUCUUGCCCUUCCAUUAUGGAACCCGCCACAAUAGGCAAAUCUACAGAGACAGGAAGGAGACGCGUGGGGGCCUGGGGCAGGGGAGGGGGAAGGGAGCGACCGCUAAGAGGUGAGGGUUUCUUUCCGGGUGAUGAAAAUGUGGAUACUCUGGGAAGUGACUGAAGCCACUGAGCCGUGCGCUUUAGAUGGGUAAGUGUGCAGAACGUGAGUUAUAGCCCCAAAGCGCUGGUGAUGAAGGAGGUGCCCGUGGGGUGGAUGGCACGCGUGGGUGCUCCAGGCUCACAGCACACCCCUGUUGGCUGCUCGCCACCUGCCCCCGUCCUGGGCACGGGCUGCCACGUCUUGGCCGGGGCCCGAGGGGUGGAUGCUGAGCUUGAGAGAGGCCCCUGAAGGUCGCUGAGAUGACCUUGGAGGGAAAGGAGGUGGUCCAUCCUCCACCCUCAGGGGGAGGCCGCCAGAGCCAGGGUGAUGGGGGGCAAGACCUGGGACUUAGCAGCCACUGCCAGAGUUUCACCCCCAGCCCCCUUGCUGGCUCUGUGGCCUCAGGCAAAUUGCUUAACCUCUCUGGCCGUCGUUUCCUCUUCUGAAGAAAUGGAGGUGAUGGAAUUCUCAGUCCUGACCAUAGGAGAAAGGAGGGCAUCUGCGCAGCACAUCUGGAAAAGGGCUUUGCCCAUCCUGAGUGCUUGGAAAAGGGUCUCCAGAGGGAGGGGCUGAGCGAGGUCAGAAGACCCCGAGUCCAGUCUGGCUCCUGCCCACCUAGUGACCCCCACCCUUGCUGGAGCCUCAGGCCCUGCCACGUCCAGGCCUGUGCCUCCCGCUCCUUCUCAGCAGGCCUGUCCCCAGCCUGUCCCCGUGUAACAGACGGACCUGGAGCAAGGAAUCGCCUCUCGGGGUCUUCGUCUGUUCACCUGUCGGAUGAGGGAGGGAGACCGAAGAAGCCCCAGGGCCCCCUUGCUGCCGGCCUUGCCCGCUCCCUGGCCCAGCACGCCUCUAGGGCUUGCCCUCGGCUUCCCCAUGUCCUGUGUCCUCAUGUCACCCGCCUGCCUCUCUAGUCGCUCAGAGGCAGGAGCCCACCUUCCUGCUGGGGCUGAAUGAGUGAGCAUCCACCUUGACUGAGGCCCCAGCCAGCUUCACCUGGGCCUGAGGGAGUGACCUUGGGCAAAACCUGGCUCUGGGCCUCAGUUUCGCCCACUAUAAAACAGACCUAAUAAUCUCUGUGUCUUCUUUGUCUUCCUGGGGAGGACGGUGAUGAGCCCUGGCAUCCAGGGGCAGGAAGGACCUUAAAUGAUAUUGAGUUCAACCCCAAAUCCAAUGCUUGAGGACCCCUACCAGGCCCCAGGCUGUGCUUGCAUACCUCUGGAGUGACGGGGAGUUCACUUUCUGCCCACCCAAUCCAUUCUAUCCAUUUGCUUGACAACAGUGACCGCAUCUAACAGGUGCCACACACAGUGGCAGGUUCUGAUGGCUCAAAAGUGAAUAGGGGCCAGGUGACAUAGAGGCAAUGACAUUGUUCAGGCUUGAACCCUGACUGUUUCUGCCUCUUCUUAGCUCUGUGUGGCCCCUGAGAGUCUUAACCGCAUUUCCUCAUCUGUAAAUGGCAGUCACAGCUCCCCGCCUGUGAGGUCACUGGAAAGACCUCCCCCAGGUGAGCUGGAGACCCUGGGGCACGAGCUCAGUCACUCUUGGGGAGCAGGUGCCAUCGUUGUCUCAAUUUUUCAAAUGAAUUUUUCAGAGGCACAGAGAUGUUAAGCAACUACCCUGAGGUCACACAGUGAGUGUGACAGGUGGAGCCCAAGCUGGGCCCCGGCUGCCUAUGCCCGGGUCCCUUGUACCUCACACCUCUCACAAGGGGCCUGCUCAGCGUAGCCCAGUUCCCUUCACACGAUGCAGGGGCAUGAGCGCUCCGUGCUCCCCAGAAGCCUCAGACCCAUUCAGCCUCCUUUUCUUAGAGGGCAAGUGGGGCCGGUGGUUUUCCACUGUUAUUUUUAGCUCUGCCCCCACUGUAUUGUUUCGGAUCCAGAGAACGGAGCCUCCGAGGUCCUGCGAGUGUCCAGCCAGUGUCCGGGGGGUAUAACCUUAGCGGGCUUGCAUAGGAGCAGUGAUGACAAGGCUACCGGAACCUGAGCUCCCCGACCCCCACCCCACCCCCACGGAGACUCGGAUCCACUGCGAGUGACUCAACAGAAGCGGCCCUGCCCCCAUCCCGUCCAACUGGCGUCCACAGGUGGGGAGAGAACAGCGCUCCCAGAAGCCGGAUGAAAGGAGUCGCUCCGGGUCACGAGCUUGGCAUUUCCCAGCUCCGCCUCCGUGUCCACUCACCUCCAAGGUCAGCCUCUGCAGAGCCACACAACCCGCGGGAGGGACCCCUCCAGGCCCCAGGGGGCUGGCAAGGAGGACUGGGAUGGGACAGCAGCCACCGUGUGGUACAGAAGUGAAUCCUGUGGCCCCCACCUGUCUGGGAGCGAGUCUGGGCUCUGCCGGUGUGAUGCUGGCUCAGGUUUCCCGUGAGGCUGUGUCAGGCUGUCGACCGGGCCACAGGCAUCCAAAGGCUGGACUCGGGCUGGAGGACCCUCUUCCAAGGUGGCUUCCUCCCCUGGUGGCAGGCUCGCACUGGCUGUUGGCAGAGGCCUCACUUCCUGGCCACAUGGGCCUCUCCACAGGGCCGCUUGGAUGUCCUCACCACACGGCGGCUGGCUUCCCCAGACUGAGCGACCCGCGAGAACAAGGCGGCAGCUGCGAUGUCUCCUAUGACCUAAGCUCGGAAGUCACACUCUGUCACCUACGCAGUAUCCUGUUGGUGACACAGGUCCGAGCUGCUGGCUGUGGGAGGGGAUGACACAAAGGUGUGGACGCCAGGAUCUCUGGGGAGCCAUCUCGGAGGCUGGCCGCACUGUGCCAUGCCUCGGGGACGGACAGGAAGCAAGACCACCGUUGUUGAUGUCAUGGCUGAGCGUGACUGUGUGUGUAAAUGGCAAAAACCAGCAUGGCGAACCCAAAGAAACAGCUGGAGACGCAUCCUGUGAAGAUGAACAGGGUGGCAUGUGACAGUGGUCAGAGGGAAGGCCUCUUCAGGAGGGUUGGGGUGGGUUUGAGCCUGAGGGUGGACCCAGCCCGCCAUGGAAGGGUGGGGGGAGGCAGUCCCAGGCAGAGGGAACAGCGCCUGUGCACUGUGAGAGGGCCGUUCUGCCUGGCUCUAAUGCUCGCUUGUGUGCGUCCCUCUUUGACUCAGUUUCCCCGUCUAUAAAAGGGGGAUAAUAACCGUUCCCACUUCCUAUAGGCGUUUCUACAAGGGAAGCCCCUAGCACAGGGCCUGGGGCCGAGUGAGUGCUGGGGACGUGAGCGUCGGGAUCCUCACUCGACACUCUGAUGUUGACUGGGCUGCCAUCCUAAGCAUUGCCUGAUGACGGUCUCGCUUCCUUUAACGUAAUCCUCUAGGAAGGGAGAGGGACCAAGGAGCCAGUGUGGGGGACCCUGUGGCCCGGGGGCGGGAGUAAAGCUGGCGUGGGGGUGCUCUCUCUGAAAAUAUGGGGGCGUGCGUGGAAGGCUCCCCUCAGGAGAAACACAGGAGUCUAGAAAGGUGAGGCGGGGGACAAAGGCC